RNAcentral lists this long non-coding RNA (216 nucleotides) under Linum usitatissimum (flax). RNAcentral describes it as "long non-coding RNA (LUSI_LNC003639)". The record is from RNAcentral. Lineage: Eukaryota; Viridiplantae; Streptophyta; Magnoliopsida; Malpighiales; Linaceae.
CUUUAAUUCUCCUUUUCUAUGAUUUAAUUUAAUUUAUUAUUAUUAUUAUUCUGUAUAGUUUUAUGUUUUUUAUUUUUUAUUUUGUUUUGUGGAAUAGAAAAGUUUCGGAGAGGAGUGGAAGUUAUGCAAAGAUUGAGAGUUGAAUUGAGAAAGAUAAAAAAUUGGAUGGCUGAAAUGUGGAGAAAGAAAAGUUGAGUGAUCAAGCUGGGAGUGUGG